GGUGUUGCAGGAGCAAUAGGUGUCUGUUCACCAUCAUAUCUGAGUGUUUUAGGAGAUUCUGGUAUACCCACAUGCAGAGGUGUUGCAUGAGCAAUAGGUAUUUGUUCUUCACAUCUGAGUUUACCAGGAGAUUCAGGUAUGUCCUCAUGCAGAGAUGACAAAGGACCAAUAGGUAUCUCCUCACGCAGAGAUGUUGCAGAAGCAACAGGCAUUUGUUCCCCAUAUCUGAGUGUAUCAGGAGGACCUGGUCUGCAGGAGCAAUAGGUAUUUGUUCUUCACAUCUGAGUUUACCAGGAGAUUCAGGUAUGUCCUCAUGCAGAGAUGACAAAGGACCAAUAGGUAUCUCCUCACGCAGAGAUGUUGCAGAAGCAACAGGCAUUUGUUCCCCAUAUCUGAGUGUAUCAGGAGGACCUGGUAUUUCCUCAUGCAGAGGAACUUCUACUGUUU
This 447-nucleotide long non-coding RNA is filed under the name Nicotiana benthamiana. Its description in RNAcentral is "long non-coding RNA (NBEN_LNC008045)". Lineage: Eukaryota; Viridiplantae; Streptophyta; Magnoliopsida; Solanales; Solanaceae. The record is from RNAcentral.